CCCUCUUUAUUUUCCCCAAAACAUUUCCCUCUCAUUUUUUUUCCAAUUAGAGAGAGUGGGAGGUAUUCUCCAUCCAUUGAUUACAAGAGGUACGCCGGCCAUUGAUUACAGGAGGUACGCCGUCCACUGAUAGAACUCCGGCAACACAUUGAUAUGAGAUACGUCGGCUUCUAGCUCCGAGAUUCUCGAAUGACUCCAUAAGUUGCCGGAGAACAAGGAGUGUGCAGAUUGCAAAGCCAAAGGUCCUCGAUGGGCAAGCGUGAAUCUUAGGAUCUUCGUAUGCAUGCAAUGCUUUGGGAUCCUCAGAAGUCUAGGUGUACACAUAUUGAAGG
Molecule: long non-coding RNA, 332 nt
Organism: Capsicum annuum
Lineage: Eukaryota; Viridiplantae; Streptophyta; Magnoliopsida; Solanales; Solanaceae
Exons: 3
Source: RefSeq, a predicted model, not a curated record